Molecule: microRNA precursor, 95 nt
Filed under: Otolemur garnettii (small-eared galago)
Lineage: Eukaryota; Metazoa; Chordata; Mammalia; Primates; Galagidae
Description: miRNA (ENSOGAG00000031207.1)
Source: RNAcentral
CCUGAGAAGGAAUCCUGGAGAAGAGGAAGAAAUGGCUGAUUCUCAGGUAAGAGUCUCCCAGGUUAGGGGCUGUGUCCUACUUUUACUCCUAGAAU